RNAcentral lists this ribosomal RNA (468 nucleotides) under uncultured bacterium. RNAcentral's name for it is "partial 16S ribosomal RNA". It matches the Rfam family "Bacterial small subunit ribosomal RNA", at positions 28 to 507 of the family's 1533-position model. The record is from RNAcentral.
GACGAACGCUGGCGGCGUGCUUAACACAUGCAAGUCGAACGGAAAGGCCCUGCUUUUGUGGGGUGCUCGAGUGGCGAACGGGUGAGUAACACGUGAGUAACCUGCCCUUGACUUUGGGAUAACUUCAGGAAACUGGGGCUAAUACCGGAUAGGAGCUCCUGCUGCAUGGUGGGGGUUGGAAAGUUUCGGCGGUUGGGGAUGGACUCGCGGCUUAUCAGCUUGUUGGUGGGGUAGUGGCUUACCAAGGCUUUGACGGGUAGCCGGCCUGAGAGGGUGACCGGCCACAUUGGGACUGGGAUACGGCCCAGACUCCUACGGUAGGCAGCAGUGGGGAAUAUUGCACAAUGGGCGGAAGCCUGAUGCAGCAACGCCGCGUGCGGGAUGACGGCCUUCGGGUUGUAAACCGCUUUCGCCUGUGACGAAGCGUGAGUGACGGUAAUGGGUAAAGAAGCACCGGCUAACUACGUG